RNAcentral lists this ribosomal RNA (700 nucleotides) under Glutamicibacter sp. RNAcentral's name for it is "bacterial SSU rRNA". It matches the Rfam family "Bacterial small subunit ribosomal RNA", at positions 52 to 765 of the family's 1533-position model. The record is from RNAcentral. Lineage: Bacteria; Bacillati; Actinomycetota; Actinomycetes; Micrococcales; Micrococcaceae.
CACAUGCAAGUCGAACGAUGAAGCCCUGCUUGCAGGGUGGAUUAGUGGCGAACGGGUGAGUAACACGUGAGUAACCUGCCCCUGACUCUGGGAUAAGCCCGGGAAACUGGGUCUAAUACCGGAUAUGACUUCCUACUGCAUGGUGGGUUGUUGAAAGAUUUAUCGGUGGGGGAUGGACUCGCGGCCUAUCAGCUUGUUGGUGAGGUAAUGGCUCACCAAGGCGACGACGGGUAGCCGGCCUGAGAGGGUGACCGGCCACACUGGGACUGAGACACGGCCCAGACUCCUACGGGAGGCAGCAGUGGGGAAUAUUGCACAAUGGGCGGAAGCCUGAUGCAGCGACGCCGCGUGAGGGAUGACGGCCUUCGGGUUGUAAACCUCUUUCAGUAGGGAAGAAGCGAAAGUGACGGUACCUGCAGAAGAAGCGCCGGCUAACUACGUGCCAGCAGCCGCGGUAAUACGUAGGGCGCAAGCGUUAUCCGGAUUUAUUGGGCGUAAAGAGCUCGUAGGCGGUUUGUCGCGUCUGCCGUGAAAGUCCGAGGCUCAACCUCGGAUCUGCGGUGGGUACGGGCAGACUAGAGUGAUGUAGGGGAGACUGGAAUUCCUGGUGUAGCGGUGAAAUGCGCAGAUAUCAGGAGGAACACCGAUGGCGAAGGCAGGUCUCUGGGCAUUUACUGACGCUGAGGAGCGAAAGCAUGGG